This 497-nucleotide ribosomal RNA is filed under the name uncultured bacterium. RNAcentral's name for it is "partial 16S ribosomal RNA". It matches the Rfam family "Bacterial small subunit ribosomal RNA", at positions 28 to 507 of the family's 1533-position model. The record is from RNAcentral.
GAUGAACGCUGGCGGCGUGCCUAAUACAUGCAAGUCGAGCGAACGGACGAGAAGCUUGCUUCUCUGAUGUUAGCGGCGGACGGGUGAGUAACACGUGGAUAACCCACCUAUAAGACUGGGAUAACUUCGGGAAACCGGAGCUAAUACCGGAUAAUAUUUUGAACCGCAUGGUUCAAAAGUGAAAGACGGUCUUGCUGUCACUUAUAGAUGGAUCCGCGCUGCAUUAGCUAGUUGGUAAGGUAACGGCUUACCAAGGCAACGAUGCAUAGCCGACCUGAGAGGGUGAUCGGCCACACUGGAACUGAGACACGGUCCAGACUCCUACGGGAGGCAGCAGUAGGGAAUCUUCCGCAAUGGGCGAAAGCCUGACGGAGCAACGCCGCGUGAGUGAUGAAGGUCUUCGGAUCGUAAAACUCUGUUAUUAGGGAAGAACAUAUGUGUAAGAAACUGUGCACAUCUUGACGUUACCUAAUCAGAAAGCCACGGCUAACUACGUG